AACGAACGCUGGCGGCAUGCCUAACACAUGCCAGUCGAACGAAGCCUUCGGGCUUAGUGGCGCACGGGUGCGUAACGCGUGGGAAUCUGCCCCUUGCUUCGGAAUAACAGUUAGAAAUGACUGCUAAUACCGGAUGAAGUCUUCGGACCAAAGAUUUAUCGGCAAGAGAUGAGCCCGCGUAGGAUUAGGUAGUUGGUGGGGUAAAGGCCUACCAAGCCGACGAUCCUUAGCUGGUCUGAGAGGAUGAUCAGCCACACUGGGACUGAGACACGGCCCAGACUCCUACGGGAGGCAGCAGUGGGGAAUAUUGGACAAUGGACGCAAGUCUGAUCCAGCAAUGCCGCGUGAGUGAUGAAGGCCUUAGGGUUGUAAAGCUCUUUUACCAGGGAUGAUAAUGACAGUACCUGGAGAAUAAGCUCCGGCUAACUCCGUG
Molecule: ribosomal RNA, 433 nt
Filed under: uncultured bacterium
Lineage: Bacteria
Description: partial 16S ribosomal RNA
Rfam family: Bacterial small subunit ribosomal RNA
Source: RNAcentral